UGGGGAAUUUUGGACAAUGGGCGAAAGCCUGAUCCAGCAAUGCCGCGUGUGUGAAGAAGGCCUUCGGGUUGUAAAGCACUUUUGUCCGGAAAGAAAUCCUUGGCUCUAAUACAGUCGGGGGAUGACGGUACCGGAAGAAUAAGCACCGGCUAACUACGUGCCAGCAGCCGCGGUAAUACGUAGGGUGCAAGCGUUAAUCGGAAUUACUGGGCGUAAAGCGUGCGCAGGCGGUUUGCUAAGACCGAUGUGAAAUCCCCGGGCUCAACCUGGGAACUGCAUUGGUGACUGGCAGGCUAGAGUAUGGCAGAGGGGGGUAGAAUUCCACGUGUAGCAGUGAAAUGCGUAGAGAUGUGGAGGAAUACCGAUGGCGAAGGCAGCCCCCUGGGCCAAUACUGACGCUCAUGCACGAAAGCGUGGGGAGCAAACAGGAUUAGAUACCCUGGUAGUCCACGCCCUAAAACGAUGUCAACUAGUUGUUGGGGAUUCAUUUCCUUAGUAACGUAGCUAACGCGUGAAGUUGACCGCCUGGGGGAGUACGGUCGC
RNAcentral lists this ribosomal RNA (543 nucleotides) under uncultured bacterium. RNAcentral's name for it is "partial 16S ribosomal RNA". It matches the Rfam family "Bacterial small subunit ribosomal RNA", at positions 355 to 889 of the family's 1533-position model. The record is from RNAcentral.